GGACCCGCACAAGCAGUGGAGCAUGUGGUUUAAUUCGAUGCUACGCGAAAAAACCUUACCAGCUCUUGCAUCCUAGUCGCGAUUUUCAGAGAUGAAUUUCUUCAGUUCGGCUGGACUAGUGACAGGUGUUGCAUGGCUGUCGUCAGCUCGUGUCGUGAGAUGUUAGUUAAGUCCUUCAACGAGCGCAACCCUCAUCCUUAUUUGCCAUCAGGUUAAGCUGGGAACUAUAAGGAAACUGCCAACGACAAGUUGGAGGAAGGUGGGGACGAUGUCAAGUCAUCAUGGCCCUUAUGGGCUGGGCUACACACAUGCUACAAUGGUGGUCACAACGGGCUAGCGAAAGAGUAAUCUGGAGCC
This 357-nucleotide ribosomal RNA is filed under the name uncultured bacterium. Its description in RNAcentral is "bacterial SSU rRNA". It matches the Rfam family "Bacterial small subunit ribosomal RNA", at positions 917 to 1269 of the family's 1533-position model. The record is from RNAcentral.